GCCUUAGUAGCGGCGAGUGAAGCGGCAAAAGCUCAAAUUUGAAAUCUGGCUCUUUCAGAGUCCGAGUUGUAAUUUGAAGAAGGUAUCUUUGGGUCUGGCUCUUGUCUAUGUUUCUUGGAACAGAACGUCACAGAGGGUGAGAAUCCCGUGCGAUGAGAUGAUCCAGGCCUAUGUAAAGUUCCUUCGAAGAGUCGAGUUGUUUGGGAAUGCAGCUCUAAGUGGGUGGUAAAUUCCAUCUAAAGCUAAAUAUUGGCGAGAGACCGAUAGCGAACAAGUACAGUGAUGGAAAGAUGAAAAGAACUUUGAAAAGAGAGUGAAAAAGUACGUGAAAUUGUUGAAAGGGAAGGGCUUGAGAUCAGACUUGGUAUUUUGUAUGUUACUUCUUCGGGGGUGGCCUCUACAGUUUAUCGGGCCAGCAUCAGUUUGGGCGGUAGGAGAAUUGCGUUGGAAUGUGGCACGGCUUCGGUUGUGUGUUAUAGCCUUCGUCGAUACUGCCAGCCUAGACUGAGGACUGCGGUUUAUACCUAGGAUGUUGGCAUAAUGAUCUUAAGUCGC
RNAcentral lists this ribosomal RNA (555 nucleotides) under Candida tropicalis. RNAcentral's name for it is "partial large subunit ribosomal RNA". It matches the Rfam family "Eukaryotic large subunit ribosomal RNA", at positions 77 to 648 of the family's 3401-position model. Lineage: Eukaryota; Fungi; Ascomycota; Pichiomycetes; Serinales; Debaryomycetaceae. The record is from RNAcentral.